This 385-nucleotide long non-coding RNA is filed under the name Oryza sativa (Asian cultivated rice). RNAcentral describes it as "long non-coding RNA (OSAT_LNC000406)". Lineage: Eukaryota; Viridiplantae; Streptophyta; Magnoliopsida; Poales; Poaceae. The record is from RNAcentral.
GGGCGCGCUGCUCCAGCGGGGUCGGCUUCCGGGACGCCGCCAGCGCGGAGGCGCGGCGGGUGCGGGCCUCCUUCCAGCGCCGCCCGGAGACGCGCCCGGCGAUGACGCCGUCGUAGGUGGGCUGCCCGAAGGAGGCGGGCUUGGAGGGGUCGGACAGGGAGGGCACCGCGCGGAGCUUGGACGGCCUCGGCGCGUCGGCGUCGGCGUCGAGGUCCAUGGAGUCGGCGGCGGCCGCCUCCUCCGCCUCGCGGCGCUUGCGCUUCCCGCGCUCGCCGCCGAGGCCCUCGUCGAGGUAGCGGAAGUCGAGGUGGGACGCCAUGGGGGGGAUGGGAGAAUCGGGAAGCUAGGGUCGCCGCCGCCUCGGGUCGGGGAGGAAGAGAGGUUG